Molecule: long non-coding RNA, 261 nt
Filed under: Trifolium pratense (red clover)
Lineage: Eukaryota; Viridiplantae; Streptophyta; Magnoliopsida; Fabales; Fabaceae
Description: long non-coding RNA (TPRA_LNC011108)
Source: RNAcentral
UUAUAUAUACAUAUAUAUGUAGAAUAAUGUUUUGUGCUGUUCUACUACUUAUUCUUUAAAUCCAAAACCUAUCUCUAUCUGCAGAUAUGCAUAUCUUGUGCUGUUGUAAGACAUAAUACUAUUAUAUCUAAAGCAUCUUUUUAGAAACCUCAAAGUCAAAACUAUGAUAUGAUUAAGACAUGGAAUAAGUUCUUUGUGGAUAUAUACUUUUGAACAAAUAUCAAAUUUAAUAUACUUUCAAUAUGUCAAAGCAAGAUAUUA